UCGGAACGUGCCCAAUCUGGGGGAUAACGCAGCGAAAGCUGUGCUAAUACCGCAUACGAUCUACGGAUGAAAGCAGGGGAUCGCAAGACCUUGCGCGAAUGGAGCGGCCGAUGGCAGAUUAGGUAGUUGGUGAGGUAAAGGCUCACCAAGCCUUCGAUCUGUAGCUGGUCUGAGAGGACGACCAGCCACACUGGGACUGAGACACGGCCCAG
Molecule: ribosomal RNA, 212 nt
Filed under: uncultured bacterium
Lineage: Bacteria
Description: partial 16S ribosomal RNA
Rfam family: Bacterial small subunit ribosomal RNA
Source: RNAcentral